GCGAAAGAUACCAGAGAGACAUAUAAACUCAUUAAACCUAUAAUGGUUUAAUUUAUAAAUUUAGACUUGGAUGGAGGGUUGUCUCAUUGGCACUCAUACGACAUCUGCCUAUAUCUAAUCAUAGAUCGAAAAUAAACUGACAUGAUAUCUGGUGGGUAGAUGGGUCAAAGUUCCUUGUUAUGUAUGCAUCACAAGCCGUGUAAAUUAAUCCAGACUCAGUUAAAAUAUCACGAUAAAAGUGUUGAAAGCACAAUGUCCAAAAGUAGUUAUUUGAC
RNAcentral lists this long non-coding RNA (275 nucleotides) under Mytilus galloprovincialis (Mediterranean mussel). The record is from RNAcentral. Lineage: Eukaryota; Metazoa; Mollusca; Bivalvia; Mytilida; Mytilidae.